ACAUGCAGAGAACUUUCCAGAGAUGGAUUGGUGCCUUCGGGAACUCUGACACAGGUGCUGCAUGGCUGUCGUCAGCUCGUGUCGUGAGAUGUUGGGUUAAGUCCCGUAACGAGCGCAACCCUUGUCCUUAGUUACCAGCACGUUAUGGUGGGCACUCUAAGGAGACUGCCGGUGACAAACCGGAGGAAGGUGGGGGAUGACGUCAAGUCAUCAUGGCCCUUACGGCCUGGGCUACACACGUGCUACAAUGGUCGGUACAAAGGGUUGCCAAGCCGCGAGGUGGAGCUAAUCCCAUAAAACCGAAUCGUAGUCCGGAUCGCAGUCUGCAACUCGACUGCGUGAAGUCGGAAUCGCUAGUAAUCGUGAAUCAGAAUGUCACGGUGAAUACGUUCCCGGGCCUU
RNAcentral lists this ribosomal RNA (401 nucleotides) under uncultured Pseudomonas sp. Its description in RNAcentral is "bacterial SSU rRNA". It matches the Rfam family "Bacterial small subunit ribosomal RNA", at positions 984 to 1382 of the family's 1533-position model. Lineage: Bacteria; Pseudomonadati; Pseudomonadota; Gammaproteobacteria; Pseudomonadales; Pseudomonadaceae. The record is from RNAcentral.